Molecule: ribosomal RNA, 253 nt
Filed under: uncultured bacterium
Lineage: Bacteria
Description: partial 16S ribosomal RNA
Rfam family: Bacterial small subunit ribosomal RNA
Source: RNAcentral
UACAGAGGUGGCAAGCGUUGUUCGGAAUUACUGGGCGUAAAGCGUGCGCAGGCGGUUUUGUAAGUCUGUCGUGAAAUCCCCGGGCUCAACCUGGGAACUGCAUUUGUGACUGCAUCGCUGGAGUACGGCAGAGGGGGAUGGAAUUCCGCGUGUAGCAGUGAAAUGCGUAGAUAUGCGGAGGAACACCGAUGGCGAAGGCAAUCCCCUGGGCCUGUACUGACGCUCAUGCACGAAAGCGUGGGGAGCAAACAGG